UGGGGAAUCUUGGCCAAUGGACGAAAGUCUGAGCCAGCGACACCGCGUGGGGGAUGAAGGCCUUCGGGUUGUAAACCUCUUUUCUGGGGAAAGAAUAAGGACGGGAGGAAAUGCCCGCCCGAUGACGGUACUCCAGGAAUAAGCAUCGGCUAACUCUGUGCCAGCAGCCGCGGUAAGACAGAGGAUGCAAGCGUUAUCCGGAAUUACUGGGCGUAAAGGGCGUCUAGGCGGGUGAGCAAGUCACUUGUGAAAUCCCUCGGCUCAACCGAGGAGAGUCUCGUGAUACUGCUCGUCUUGGGUGUAGGAGAGGAGAGUGGAACUCACAGAGUAGCGGUGGAAUGCGUAGAUACUGUGAGGUACCCCGAUGGCGAAGGCAACUCUCUGGCCUACUACCGACGCUGAAGCGCGAAAGCGUGGGGAGCAAAGGGG
This 429-nucleotide ribosomal RNA is filed under the name uncultured bacterium. RNAcentral's name for it is "bacterial SSU rRNA". It matches the Rfam family "Bacterial small subunit ribosomal RNA", at positions 355 to 776 of the family's 1533-position model. The record is from RNAcentral.